UACGUAGGGUGCAAGCGUUGUCCGGAAUUAUUGGGCGUAAAGAGCUCGUAGGCGGUUUGUCGCGUCCGCUGUGAAAAUCCAGGGCUUAACCCUGGACCUGCAGUGGGUACGGGCAGACUAGAGUGCGGUAGGGGAGAUCGGAAUUCCUGGUGUAGCGGUGAAAUGCGCAGAUAUCAGGAGGAACACCGGUGGCGAAGGCGGAUCUCUGGGAAUGUCCUGACGCUGAGGAGCGAAAGUGUGGGGAGCGAACAGG
RNAcentral lists this ribosomal RNA (253 nucleotides) under uncultured bacterium. Its description in RNAcentral is "partial 16S ribosomal RNA". It matches the Rfam family "Bacterial small subunit ribosomal RNA", at positions 524 to 776 of the family's 1533-position model. The record is from RNAcentral.